UACAGGAUUCCCUCAGUAACGGCGAAGCGAAGUGGGAAGAGCUCGAGCCUGAAAUCCCUGGCAGGUACUGUCAGGGAAUUGUGGCCGGGAGAGGCAACUAGGCCCUGACCGAUGCUGUCAAAGUUGACCUGGAAAGGCGCGUCAUAGAGGGUGAGAGCCCCGUGUGUGACACCAUUGAUCAGGGCGUUAUUGCCUUCGGAGAGUCGGGUUGUUUGGGAAUGCAGCCCAAAGUGGGUGGUAAACUCCAUCUAAAGCUAAAUACUGGCACGAGACCGAUAGCAAACAAGUACCGUGAGGGAAAGGUGAAAAGUACUUUGAAAAGAGAGUCAAAAAGACCGCGAAACCGUUAGGAGGGAAGCGAAUGCAGCUGAAUUAGCUCUGCUCAAGCUCAGGAGCGAUGUCGAUUGGCGAUGCCAGCGUUCAAAAGCCGAUAGGCUUUGUCGUUCUGGAUAGCUGUCGACUCCUCUGCACUCUUGUGCGAGCUGGCCAACAACAGUUGCUCGUGGCUGAGAAGGGCAGUUGGGUAGGUACUUACCUCUCGUAGGUAAAACUUAUAGCCAUCUGUCUGGAAGUCUGCGGGUGACUGAGGAUAACUUGGCAGCGUAGGCCUUCGGGUUUGGGCCACUUCUGGUCGUUUGGGCACCGCUUCAGGGACUGCGUGCAGUGUCUGCUGACGGCUGUCUGCUCGGACGGGAGACCGGUCACACCUUGCGCUGUAGUUGUUGGUGAUCAAAUGGCUGCAUCCGACCCGUCUUGAAACACGGACCAAGGAGUGCAACAUGCGUGCGAGUCUUUGGGUGGCAAACCCAGCGGCGCAAUGAAAGUGAAGGCAGGCGUUGGUCUGCUGANGCGAGAGUCCUCUCACGGGGACACAUCGUCAACCGAUCCUAAGUCACGCUGUGGCGGGAUUUGAAUGAAAACGUGCCUGUUGCGACCCAAAAAGGUGAACUAUGCCUGAAUAGGUGAAGCCAAAGAAACUCUGGUGAAACUCGUAACGAUUCUGACGUGCAAAUCCAUCGUCAAUUUGGGUAUAGGGGCGAAAACUAAUCCAACCUCUAGUACCUGGUCCCCCC
RNAcentral lists this ribosomal RNA (1073 nucleotides) under Protosuberites incrustans. RNAcentral's name for it is "eukaryotic LSU rRNA". It matches the Rfam family "Eukaryotic large subunit ribosomal RNA", at positions 68 to 961 of the family's 3401-position model. The record is from RNAcentral. Lineage: Eukaryota; Metazoa; Porifera; Demospongiae; Suberitida; Suberitidae.